This 1217-nucleotide ribosomal RNA is filed under the name uncultured Rhizaria. Its description in RNAcentral is "SSU rRNA". It matches the Rfam family "Eukaryotic small subunit ribosomal RNA", at positions 577 to 1804 of the family's 1831-position model. The record is from RNAcentral.
CGGUAAUUCCAGCUCCAAUAGCGUAUACUAAAGUUGUUGCAGUUAAAAAGCUCGUAGUUGGAUUUCUGCGGGGACGGAGCGGCCGGUCGCAACUUGCGACUCGAGCUAGCGCUUUCCCCGCAUCCUGCCGCGAACCGUGCUACCAUUAGCUUGGUGGCGCUGGGGAUCGGCUCGAUUACUUUGAGAAAAAUAGAGUGUUCAAAGCAGGCCACACGCCUUGAAUAAGUUAGCAUGGAAUAAUGACUAAGGACUUCGGUUCUAUUUUGUUGGUGUUCGGGACUGAAGUAAUGAUUGAUAGGGACAGUUGGGGCGGUCUGUAUUCCAAAGCGAGAGGUGAAAUUCUUAGACCUUCGGAAGACAAACAGCUGCGAAAGCGUUCCGCAAGGAUGUUCCCUUUGAUCAAGAACGAAAGUUGGGGGAUCGAAGACGAUCAGAUACCGUCGUAGUCUCAACUAUAAACUAUACCAGCUAGGGAUCGGUCAACGUUUAAUCAUUCGACUUGAUCGGCACCUUAUGAGAAAUCAAAGCAUCUGGGUUCCGGGGGGAGUAUGGUCGCAAGGCUGAAACUUAAAGGAAUUGACGGAAGGGCACCACCAGCCGUGGAGCCUGUGGCUUAAUUUGACUCAACACGGGAAAACUUACCAGGUCCAGACAUAGUAAGGAUUGACAGAUUGAUAGCUCUUUCUUGAUUCUGUGGGUGGUGGUGCAUGGCCGUUCUUAGUUGGUGGAGUGAUUUGUCUGGUUAAUUCCGUUAACGAACGAGACCCCAGCCUGCUAAAUAGCGCGGUUGAGCUUUGCUCGAUGCGAGCUUCUUAGAGGGACUAUGAUGCGCGAUAGCACAUGGAAGUUUGGGGCAAUAACAGGUCUGUGAUGCCCUUAGAUGUUCUGGUCCGCACACGGGCUACACUGGCGCCUGCAACGAGCAUAUCAGCUGGCCCGAGAGGGUCUUGGCUAAUCUUUUGAACCGGCGCCGUGCUUGGGAUUGACCAUUGCAAUUGUUGGUCAUGCAACGAGGAAUGCCUUGUAAACGCGAGUCAUCAGCUCGCAUUGAAUACGUCCCUGCCCUUUGUACACACCGCCCGUCGCUCCUACCGAUGAAUGUUCCGAUGAAAUUUUCGGAGAGCGCCAGAGAACGGGGCUCUGCCUUGCAGAUCUGGAGGCUCAAAGUCACUUAAAUCUGAACAUUUCGAGGAAGGAGAAGUCGUAACAAGGUAACC